UGCGCUUUUUAGUCUCAAAACCAAUCCAUCUCUGAUGGUUAUUGAUGAAUCAUAGAAAUCUUGCGGAUCGAAUGCUUCGGCGUCGACAUAUCAUUCAAGUUUCUGACCUAUCAGCUUCCGACGGUAGGGUAUUGGCCUACCGUGGCUAUGACGGGUAACGGGGAAUUAGGGUUCGAUUCCGGAGAGGGAGCCUGAGAAAUGGCUACCACAUCUAAGGAGGGCAGCAGGCGCGCAAAUUACCCAAUCCUGACACAGGGAGGUAGUGACAAGAAAUAACAAUACGGGGCUUCAAGUCUUGUGAUUGGAAUGAGUAGUUUUUAAACCUCGCUACGAGUAUCAAUUGGAGGGCAAGUCUGGUGCCAGCAGCCGCGGUAAUUCCAGCUCCAAUAGCGUAUAUUAAAGUUGUUGCAGUUAAAAAGCUCGUAGUUGGAUGUCUGCUCGGUUAUGCCGGUCGGCCCUCAGGGUCUGUACUCGGUUAUUUCCGGGCAUUUACUAAGAAACACGACUGCACUUGACUGUGUGGCGUGCUACUUAGUUCCGUUACUUUGAGAAAAUUAGAGUGUUUCAAGCAGGCCU
Molecule: ribosomal RNA, 576 nt
Filed under: uncultured eukaryote
Lineage: Eukaryota
Description: bacterial SSU rRNA
Rfam family: Eukaryotic small subunit ribosomal RNA
Source: RNAcentral